This 366-nucleotide RNase P RNA is filed under the name Candidatus Hydrogenedentota bacterium. RNAcentral describes it as "RNase P RNA component class A". It matches the Rfam family "Bacterial RNase P class A". Rfam says of the family: Ribonuclease P (RNase P) is a ubiquitous endoribonuclease, found in archaea, bacteria and eukarya as well as chloroplasts and mitochondria. Its best characterised activity is the generation of mature 5'-ends of tRNAs by cleaving the 5'-leader elements of precursor-tRNAs. The record is from RNAcentral. Lineage: Bacteria; Pseudomonadati; Candidatus Hydrogenedentota.
UGAGCAGGCCGGGCGGUCGCGGCGCGCUUCGGUGCGUCGAGGAAAGUCCGAGCUCCACAGGGCAAGGUGCUUCGUAACGCGAAGGCGGGGCAACCCGACGGAAAGUGGCACAGAAACUACACCGCCUACGUCCCUUUGAGACCGGCAAGGGUGAAAAGGUGCGGUAAGAGCGCACCAGCGGAUUGGCAACAGUCCGGCUGGCUAAACCCCACCUGGAGCAAUUCCAAAUAGGGGAGCGAUGGAGUGGCCCGCUCUGCUCCCGGGUAGGAAGCUUGAGGCGUGCGGUGACGUACGUCCUAGAGGAAUGGCCGCCUCGGGACGCUUCGGCGUCCUAGACAGGACUCGGCUUACAGGCCCGCUCACACG